RNAcentral lists this ribosomal RNA (460 nucleotides) under uncultured bacterium. Its description in RNAcentral is "partial 16S ribosomal RNA". It matches the Rfam family "Bacterial small subunit ribosomal RNA", at positions 338 to 795 of the family's 1533-position model. The record is from RNAcentral.
CCUACGGGGGGCAGCAGUGAGGAAUAUUGGUCAAUGGACGAGAGUCUGAACCAGCCAAGUAGCGUGAAGGAUGACUGCCCUAUGGGUUGUAAACUUCUUUUAUAUGGGAAUAAAAUGUUCCACGUGUGGGAUUUUGUAUGUACCAUAUGAAUAAGGAUCGGCUAACUCCGUGCCAGCAGCCGCGGUAAUACGGAGGAUCCGAGCGUUAUCCGGGUUUAUUGGGUUUAAAGGGAGCGUAGGUGGAUUGUUAAGUCAGUUGUGAAAGUUUGCGGCUCAACCGUAAAAUUGCAGUUGAAACUGGCAGUCUUGAGUACAGUAGAGGUGGGCGGAAUUCGUGGUGUAGCGGUGAAAUGCUUAGAUAUCACGAAGAACUCCGAUUGCGAAGGCAGUUCACUGGACUGCAACUGACACUGAGGCUCGAAAGUGUGGGUAUCAAACAGGAUUAGAUACCCGAGUAGUC